RNAcentral lists this ribosomal RNA (253 nucleotides) under uncultured bacterium. RNAcentral's name for it is "partial 16S ribosomal RNA". It matches the Rfam family "Bacterial small subunit ribosomal RNA", at positions 524 to 776 of the family's 1533-position model. The record is from RNAcentral.
UACGUAGGCAGCGAGCGUUGUCCGGAUUUAUUGGGCGUAAAGAGCGUGUAGGCGGCUAGAUAGGUCCGUUGUGAAAACUGGAGGCUCAACCUCCAGCUGUCGAUGGAAACCAUCUAGCUAGAGUCCGGAAGAGGAGAGUGGAAUUCCUGGUGUAGCGGUGAAAUGCGCAGAUAUCAGGAAGAACACCCGUGGCGAAGGCGGCUCUCUGGGACGUGACUGACGCUGAGACGCGAAAGCGUGGGGAGCGAACAGG